GACGAACGCUGGCGGCGUGCCUAAUACAUGCAAGUCGACCUGAGUGGCGAACGGGUGAGUAACACGUUGGUCACCUGCCCAUCAGAAGGGGAUAACACUUGGAAACAGGUGCUAAUACCGUAUACUGAUGGAUGGACCCGCGGUGCAUUAGCUAGUUGGUGAGGUAACGCCUCACCAAGGCCACGAUGCAUAGCCGCCCUUGGAGGGUGAUCGGCCACUUUGGGACGGAGACCCGGCCCGACCUCCUACGGGAGGCAGCAUUGGGUAAUCUUCGGCAAUGGACGAAAGUCUGACCGAGCAACGCCGCGUGAGUGUAGAAGGUUUUCGGUUCGUAAGCCUCUGUUGUUAGGGAUGCGGUAUCUAACCAGAAAGCCACGGCUAACUACGUGCCAGCAGCCGCGGUAAUAC
Molecule: ribosomal RNA, 408 nt
Filed under: uncultured bacterium
Lineage: Bacteria
Description: partial 16S ribosomal RNA
Rfam family: Bacterial small subunit ribosomal RNA
Source: RNAcentral